Molecule: long non-coding RNA, 1157 nt
Organism: Passer domesticus (house sparrow)
Lineage: Eukaryota; Metazoa; Chordata; Aves; Passeriformes; Passeridae
Exons: 2
Source: RefSeq, a predicted model, not a curated record
AUACUGCCCUUUGCUGUGUGCCAUUGAGCAAAGGGAAGAGCCAGAUUAAACGUUUGGCACUUGACAUCAAAGUUAUGAAAAUGGAAUCAUCCCUUUUAUUAGAAAUCUCUCAAUUUUCUGUCCACAGUGCAUUUCCGAAUCUUCAGUGUGGGUUUAGACAACUUCUUAAUGGAAAUAAAAAGCAACUGGACAUUUCAUUCAUUGCUCAUGCAGAAAGAUAAUGUGAAAUAAUUUAGUAAAGGGACAAAGUCUGCCACAGGGACAAGGCUGUGGUUGGAGAAAUUAGUCCUGAGGGAUUGGUGGUUCUGUUUCCAGGAUGAUCAGCUGCUUUGCCCGUUUCUGGAUCAUGGGGCUCUGUGCUAUUUUGCUGAUCUUAGCCAGAAGGCUUCCAAUUAGCAAAUGCAGAGGUAGAUCCCUGUUUGCAUUGAGGCUGGUGGUUGAGAAGCUGUGUCUCUCUCCCGGCAGUGCUUGUGGAGUGGGUUUAUGCCAGGAGCCCUGAAGUGGUCCAGCACGACGCCCUGCCCGUGCUCUGGUCCUUCCUGGAGAACAAGGCACUGCCGGUGCGAAGCGCCAAUGUCCGCACUGUGGCCACCAAGCUUGCCUCUGCCCUCCACAAGGUGAUGGGCACCAAGCUGAAGAGAUGUGCUGCCAGCCAGCCUCCACAUGUGCGGGAAAACCUCUCCAAAAUGUUGGGCUGGUGAAGGCAUGAUGUUCUCCAGAGAGAUGACAUCGUGCUGAGUUGGACACCUCCAGAUCUGCCUUGUUAGCUGUGCCAAAAGAGACCAAAUGCUAAGGAAGGGUGUGCACCUGCCCCCUCUCUCUCCAUCGCCCUUCCUAGUCAUGGCAUGGGGGGCCUGAAGCAACUCCAGACUGAGGACAAGGUGAAGGCUGAUCAUGGCUCAGCCUCACACAGAGAUCGGACUGGUUACAGUCUUACCGAGAAGGUUCCUCUGGACAAUUCCCAUGGUGCCUUACCCACAAAGUCCUUGCCUGCUGUACAGAAGAGCUCUCUUUUCUCCAAGUUCAGGAAGAAGCUGCUGCCUGUAUGAAGAUUGUUUGAAGAAUAGGAUUUAUAUGUUAGGUUUUGUAGUAGAUGUACAUAUGUUCUGAUCCUUAGAUGUAGUUUUGAAUAAAUGUGUUUUGAUUGUACCUUUAAA